GACAGAGGUCCCGAGCGUUAGGCGGAAUCACUGGGCUUAAAGCGUGUGUAGGCGGAUCGUUAAGUGCCUUGUGAAAUCCCACGGCUCAACCGUGGAACUGCUGGGUAUACUGCCAGUCUUGAGCCAGCUAGGGGCUACCGGAACAAAUGGUGGAGCGGUGAAAUGCUUAGAUAUGACAUAGAACACCAAUUGCGAAGGCAGCUCGUUACACGAAUAUUGACUCUGAGGCACGAAAGCGUGGGGAUCAAACAGG
This 253-nucleotide ribosomal RNA is filed under the name uncultured bacterium. Its description in RNAcentral is "partial 16S ribosomal RNA". It matches the Rfam family "Bacterial small subunit ribosomal RNA", at positions 524 to 776 of the family's 1533-position model. The record is from RNAcentral.